Molecule: long non-coding RNA, 713 nt
Organism: Lytechinus variegatus (green sea urchin)
Lineage: Eukaryota; Metazoa; Echinodermata; Echinoidea; Temnopleuroida; Toxopneustidae
Exons: 5
Source: RefSeq, a predicted model, not a curated record
AGAAGCUGUAUCGGAGCUUCGGAAGUGCACGAAAGCUCUAAAUUGGUGUCUUGUUGUAUCUCACUAUCUUGCUUAUUUAGAAUCUACGGGAUAUACACGUAAAGUAGAUUGGAUGUUAGACUCUGAUGUCUCGGUGAAACGGAAACGGACUGGCAAACAUCGCAUUGCCAUUAACACAACUAAAAAUGGUCAAGGAGGCUGAAGAAGGGGGUUGAAUUCAUCAUCAACUAGAAAGGGUUUACUGGCAAGCAAUUUUUUUUGAUUCACAGAAUGUAAGACUCAGAAUAUCAUCUGAUAGAGGGUCUAGCAUCCAUUUUGCACUCUUCUGUGAUAAAUAUGCAGGAGAGCGAUUUUAGAACUUAUGCAGGAUUGUCAAAGGUCCUGAGUCUGAGGCAUACUGUGAAGAUUUAAUUACUGAAGCGGAAAACAAUGCCGUAUGGACGUACAAUCACAAGACACAAAUAUCUGCACCUGAUGCCACUCACCAUCCAGGUGUAAUAUAAAGCCAGUAGGACCGAUUCUUUGAAUCGUCUGAGCACCCUAAUAAAAGCCUUCCUCGGCUUUGAUUGAGCGAAACUUUAACGAACGUAGGAUCCAUCAUCUCGGACUCGGGGCAAUGACUUCACAUCUUCAUACGAUGGUAGUGGGGAGAGAAAGGAGGAACGGUAAGGAGGAGAAUCGGAUGAAAAGGAAGGCGGAAGAGGGCAAGGUAA